GGGCCUGUAGCUCAGUUGGUUAGAGCGCACCCCUGAUAAGGGUGAGGUCGGAGGUUCGAAUCCCCCCAGGCCCACCA
This 77-nucleotide transfer RNA is filed under the name Croceicoccus mobilis. RNAcentral's name for it is "tRNA-Ile". It matches the Rfam family "tRNA". Rfam says of the family: Transfer RNA (tRNA) molecules are approximately 80 nucleotides in length. Their secondary structure includes four short double-helical elements and three loops (D, anti-codon, and T loops). Further hydrogen bonds mediate the characteristic L-shaped molecular structure. tRNAs have two regions of fundamental functional importance: the anti-codon, which is responsible for specific mRNA codon recognition, and the 3' end, to which the tRNAs corresponding amino acid is attached (by aminoacyl-tRNA synthetases). tRNAs cope with the degeneracy of the genetic code in two manners: having more than one tRNA (with a specific anti-codon) for a particular amino acid; and 'wobble' base-pairing, i.e. permitting non-standard base-pairing at the 3rd anti-codon position. Lineage: Bacteria; Pseudomonadati; Pseudomonadota; Alphaproteobacteria; Sphingomonadales; Erythrobacteraceae. RNAcentral also lists the same sequence under 3 other names. The record is from RNAcentral.